This 2979-nucleotide long non-coding RNA is filed under the name Podarcis lilfordi (Lilford's wall lizard). The record is from RNAcentral. Lineage: Eukaryota; Metazoa; Chordata; Lepidosauria; Squamata; Lacertidae.
CCCCCUGCAGGCGGGAGUGUGUCAAUGCAGCCGCCUCGACGCAGGCGGGGUUUCAAUGCGGUUUGCAAACCGAUUCUUUGCUUGUUAUGUGCAGUUGGUUCCAAGCCUAGAGCCUCCAGAAUUCAGUGGAGCUUAUUUCUGGCAGACUGUGAGAGGGUUGCAGGCUUCUAAAUGUGCAGUAGUCCCAAGUCUAAAUCCUGACCCUGUAGAAUUUAUUGGGCUGUUUUUAUUCUGAUUAUAUGUGUGUGUGUGUAUAUAUAUAUAUAUGUUUUUAUGUUGAUCUAGUAUGUGAACCAUCCAGGUAUAGGUAUAGGUAAAGGUCCAGUUAAGUUCAGUUGCAGACGACUCUGGGGUUGUGGCGCUCCUCUUGCUUUACAGGCUAAGGGAGCCGGCGUUUGCCUGCAGACAGUUUUUCCGGGUCAUGUAGCCAGCAUGACUUCUGGCACAAUGGAACACUGAAACCAGAGCAGUGCAUGGAAAUGCCGUUUACCUUCCCGCUGGAGUGGUACCUAUUUAUCAACUUGCACUUUCUGGCGUGCUUUUGAACUGUUAGGUUGGCAGGAGUAGGGACCGAGCAACGGGAGCUCACCCUGUCGCGGGCAUUUGAACCGCUGACCUUCUGAUCAGCGAUCCCAAGAGGCUCAGUGUCUGGGUAUAGGGUGGUACAGUCAUACCUUGUUUUGCAACUGGGAUGCGUUCCAGAGCCCCGGCCGCUAGCCGAAAAGGAUGCAGGAAAAAGCACCGCGUCUGUGCACACGCGGAGCGCUUUGCGCUUCUGCACAUGCGCAAGUGGCAAACCCAGAAGUAACACGUUCUGGUACUUUCGGGUUUGCCGCGGACGUUCGCUGGAACGGAUGCUUGACGAGGUGGACAUUCGUGGAGGUAUUACUGUAUAUAAAUUCACUAUUUAUAUAAAUAUAUAAAUUGCACUAUUGUAUGCCCAGAUAAUAUUCCAAUUGUCUGAUUCCACCCUUUAUCCAAACAUCAUAGGGCUGUUUACAGUUAGUGUUGCAGGCACUGCAUUCGGAACUAACUUCAGUUUUCUGGAGACUCUCCAAAGACAGACCCAUAUGUACAAUUUAUUACUGUCAUCUAUCCUAGAUGUCAGUUUAAUGGAAAGGCAAUGUUGUUCAACACGAUAACAAUGCGCCCCGCCCCGAUGCAUAGAAAACCAAAGUCUAUCUGUAACGGGCCGCCAUGCCAGUCUCUGUGUCUGAAAAAUGCUCUUUAACAAAUUUCAUCGCCCUUUUAGUCAAUGGGGGCCAUGCAACUUGGGGGUGGGGUGAGGACAGAGGUCAUGCUCCAUUUUCUACUUUUGUCAUGCAAUAACUACCUGUGGGAUAUUGCGAUCCGUCAUAAACCAAGCCCGGACAAACAUGCGGAAUUCUCAGAGGCGUGUUUCUAAAGUUAACAAGCAGAUUUAUUAUAAACAUCUGUUAAACCCAAUAUGCUUUUAGAGAGAGUCCCAAAGACCCUGUAACUCUGCAAUAAGAUGUCUUUACAGGAUCUGUCAUGGAGUUUGGCAUUUAUUGCAGAACUGAACGCCAUUCGUAAUAAUCCCCCAACAGAGCAUCGAGUGUCAACAUCUAAGGACACCUUUCAAAGGGUCACUUUGGCAUCCCGAUGAAGCAGAUUUCAAAGUCACCCUCUACCUGGCUCUGAAUUCUUUCCAAGAAGUGGUGAACUGAAAUCUCAAAAGAGUUUUUACAGGACCAGUUUCUGUGCACAAAAAAGUCAGAUGUUUUUACAAUGAUUGCAACCAAUUUCCUACAGACAUCUUUGGUCCAUCCUGAGGCAAGCUCCCUCUAUCCUGACUGCCCACUCUGCUGUUAUACCAUUGGCCAGGGGACCAAGAUCACUGUUGGACUAUGACUACAGCCCCAGGAAGUAUGGCUGAUAGCCAGGGAUGAUGGGAGUUGUAGUCCAACAACAAGAGUAGGGUACCAUGCUAUUAUUAUUAAAUGUUUUCAUAUAUGCUGGAAGCCGCCCAAUAAGAUGGAUGGGGUACAAAUAAAUUAUUAUUAUUAUUAUUAUUAUUAUUAUUAUUAUUAGCUACCACUACUGGCAUCAGUUGCAUGCCUUCCAUAGGCACCCAUUCCCUAGAAACACACCCUGCUUUUAUUAAUUGCUUUCGUGCAUUUUAGUCGCUAUGGCUUUAAAACAAUCUGCUGCUCUGUUGCUUCUACUGCUUUCCAUUAUGAAAUAUAUUUAUUUUUUCGUUAAGCCCUCCGGAGACUUUUGCAAAAGUUGGGCAGUAAAUCCCUAACAGCGCCCUCCUACGCACGUUUAUUCGGAAGUUAAGUCCCUGCUGUGUUCAGUGGGCUCACUCCCAGAUAAGUGUGAGUGGGAUUGCCGCCUCAAAUGAAUAAAUAAUAGAAUUGCAGAGUUGGGAGGGACACCGAGGGUCAUCCAGUCCAACCCCCUGCAAUGCAGGAAUACAAUCAACUCCAAAUGAAGCAUGUGGCUAGUGAGCUAUGUUCUCUUUGGGGGUGAGGGUGUCACAAGUUGUGCAGGCCUGAUCUAAACCUAGGCCCCUUCAUGCUUUUUUCUUUUUGCUCUGAGGAGAAUCCCUGUCCGUCCGUGUCCAACACCCUUUCUCAAUCUGACUACUGCAAUGCGCUCUACGUGGGGCUACCUUUGAAGGUGACCCAGAAACUACAACUAAUCCAGAAUGUGGCAGCUAGACUGGUGACUGGGGGCGGCCGCCGAGACCACAUAACACCGGUCUUGAAAGACCUACAUUGGCUCCCAGUACGUUUCUGAGCACAAUUCAAAGUGUUGGUGCUGACCUUGAAAGCCCUAAACGGCCUCAGCCCAGUAUACCUGAAGGAGCAUCUCCACCCCCAACGUUCAGCCCGGACACUGAGGUCCAGCUCCGAGGGCCUUCUGGCGGUUCCCUCACUGCGAGAAGUGAAGUUACAGGGAACCAGGCAGAGGGCCUUUUCGGUAGCGACAUCUGCCUUGGGGAACGCCCUCCCA